CUACGGGUCGCUGCAGUGAGGAAUAUUGCACAAUGGGGGGAACCCUGAUGCAGCAACGCCGCGUGGAGGAUGACGCAUUUCGGUGUGUAAACUCCUUUUAUAUGUCAAGAAAAUGACGGUAGCAUAUGAAUAAGCACCGGCUAACUCCGUGCCAGCAGCCGCGGUAAUACGGAGGGGUGCAAGCGUUACUCGGAAUCACUGGGCGUAAAGGACGCGUAGGCGGGUUGGUAAGUCAGGUGUGAAAUCCUACAGCUUAACUGUAGAACUGCACUUGAAACUUCUAAUCUAGAGUAUGGGAGGGGGAGAUGGAAUUAGUGGUGUAGGGGUAAAAUCCGUAGAUAUCACUAGGAAUACCUAAAGCGAAGGCGAUCUCCUGGAACAUUACUGACGCUAAGGCGUGAAAGCGUGGGGAGCAAACAGGAUUAGAUACCCGAGUAGUC
Molecule: ribosomal RNA, 440 nt
Filed under: uncultured bacterium
Lineage: Bacteria
Description: partial 16S ribosomal RNA
Rfam family: Bacterial small subunit ribosomal RNA
Source: RNAcentral